RNAcentral lists this small nuclear RNA (164 nucleotides) under Haliotis rubra (blacklip abalone). Its description in RNAcentral is "U1 spliceosomal RNA". It matches the Rfam family "U1 spliceosomal RNA". From Rfam's summary of the family: U1 is a small nuclear RNA (snRNA) component of the spliceosome (involved in pre-mRNA splicing). Its 5' end forms complementary base pairs with the 5' splice junction, thus defining the 5' donor site of an intron. Lineage: Eukaryota; Metazoa; Mollusca; Gastropoda; Lepetellida; Haliotidae. The record is from RNAcentral.
AUACUUACCUUGGCACAGGCUUUACUAGUGAUCCGCAAGGCUGUGGGCCCGGGGCGAGACCUUCCAUUGCACAUCGGUUUGUUGGACCCUGGGCGAUCGUCCCAAAUGUGGACGACUCGGGUGCGCAAUUUAUAAGGUGGGGACUGCGUUCGCGCUCUCCCUUU